CUGGCGGUUAGUAAGCCUUUAGCAGCCAAACGAUCAAGUUGGUUAUUUUGAGUGCAAACGGACGAAUUAAUACAGGAAAAUCAAGUAUACUGAAAAGAAAAGAAAAUACGUGGAACUUACAAGCAAACAUACACACACAGACAUAUUUGUAUUGAAGAGUUGAAGAAAAUUGGAAAUAAAAAUUAAUAGAAAUAAAGUGAUAGUGAGGCGCAUAAAAGACAUUGAAAUUAUUUUGUGAGUGGCUUAAUUUGCCUGUACAAUGGCUGAAGCCCAUUCUGCUGUGGCAUUUUCCUUUGCCAUCACCCACGAAGGCUUCGACAUCAACUAUGACCAGGAGGUGCUAAAUCUCGUCUGGAAUUCCGGUGUGCGUUCAUGGAAGAAACGCAUAGCACGUGCACGUAAUGGCGUACGUAACGGUGUCUAUCCGGCGCAUAUACAAAGCCUAUGGCUCAUUACGGCCAUUGCCAUGGGUCUGCAUUUCUCCGGUUUUGCAGUACCAUUUGAUCUCGUCCAUAGAAUACUGGUGCAUCUGCCAGCCAAUACGGUUAAUUGGCAGGUGACAGCGUGCUUUGGUGCAGCACUAAUCAUUUGGCUUUCCAUAUGCUUCACAAUGCGUUAUACGCUGAAAUUGCUGCUCAUGUACAAAGGUUGGAUGUAUGAGUCGCGAGCGCCGGGCAGUAAAGUGUCGUUGAAGACCAAAGUGUGGGCGGGUGUAGUUAAAGUACUCUCCAGCUGGAAUACACCAGGGCUAUACAGUUUUCAAGGUUCACUGCCGCGACUACCGGUGCCCGCGUUGCACGACACAAUGCAACGGUAUUUACGUUCGGUACGUCCUCUACUGGAUGAUGAGAAUUUCGCGCGUAUGGAGGGUUUAGCCAAGGAAUUUGAGGGCACGAUUGGCAAGAAAUUACAAUGGUAUCUAACGUUGAAAAGUUGGUGGGCCACCAAUUACGUUUCCGAUUGGUGGGAGGAAUAUGUUUAUCUGCGCGGACGUAGUCCUUUGAUGAUCAACAGCAACUUCUAUGGCACUGAUGCGAUUUUCAUGAAUUUAACAAAUAAUCAAGCAGCGCGCGCAGCCAAUGUUGUGUACUUGUUGUUGGGAUUCAGACGUUCAAUUGAACGCCAAGAAUUGCAGCCGAUAAUGGUGCAAGGCAUGAUACCGCUUUGUUCGUGGCAAUAUGAACGCACAUUCAAUACGGUGCGAGUGCCCGGUUUAGAAACUGACCGCAUAGUACACUAUCGCGAUUCCAAUCAUAUUGUUGUGUUGCACAAAGGACGUUACUUUAAGGUGGUUAUCUAUUACAAAGGUCGCAUUUUGCGUCCAUGUGAGAUACAAAUACAAAUGGAAGAAAUACUGAACUCCAAAGCCACCCCGCUGCCCAGUGAGGAACACUUGGCGGCGUUAACCACAAUGAAUCGUUCGAAAUGGGCUGAAAUACGUAAUGCGCAUUUUGCGCGUGGCGUAAAUCGCGUUUCACUUAACCUCGUAGAGUCUGCUGCCUUUGUACUGUCAUUGGAUGAUGAAGCAUAUGAAUUUGAUUUGGCGCAUCCUGAAUUAUUGGAUAAAUUUGGCAAGACAUUAUUACAUGGCAAUGGUUGCAAUCGUUGGUUUGACAAGAGCUUCACCGUUUGUGUUGGUUCAAAUGGCCGUGUGGGUUUCAAUGCCGAACAUACUUGGGCCGAUGCUGCUGUAAUGGCUCACGUAUGGGAGAAUCUUGUUAUGGACGAUGCGACCACCAACGGGGCUGAUGCACCGGUUAUGGGUCAUCUUUGGGAAUAUAUUUUCGGUGAUGAUAUAUAUGGAUACGAUGAGGUUGGUAACACAAAGGGAAAACCCGAAUUUCAACCACCAUCGCCCACACGUUUGAGUUGGGAUCUCACAGCUUUGCAACCACAAAUUGAAGAGGCGACAUUAGAUGCUACCAAGCUUAUAAAUGAUGUGGACCUACGCAUUCUGGUACAUAACCAGUACGGUAAAGGUUUCAUGAAAAAGUGUCGCCUAUCUCCUGAUGCAUAUAUACAAAUGGCACUACAAUUAGCUUAUUACCGUGACGCUGGUCGAUUCUCAUUAACAUACGAAGCAUCUAUGACACGCUUAUUCCGUGAGGGACGCACUGAAACCGUGCGUCCUUGCACAAUUGAAUCAGCAGCUUGGGUGAAAGCAAUGGAAGACAGUAAUACAACGAGCGAGGAGCGCGUAAAACUUUUACAGCAGGCAUGUGAUCGUCAUCAGCUUGGCUACCAAGAUGCCAUGUGUGGACGUGGUAUUGAUCGUCAUCUGUUUUGUCUUUAUGUAGUUUCUAAAUACCUAGAAGUUGAUUCACCAUUCCUCAAUGAGGUGUUGAGCGAGCCGUGGCGCUUGUCCACCAGUCAAACUCCACACGGGCAAACGCCGAAAAUGGAUUUGAAGAAACAUCCAAACUGUAUCAGUUCUGGUGGCGGUUUCGGCCCAGUCGCUGACGAUGGCUACGGUGUGUCGUAUAUAAUAGCGGGCGAAAACUUAAUAUUCUUCCACAUAUCAGCUAAAUUAAACUGCAAACAGACGGAUGUGCAUCGUUUUGGCGAUAAUAUCUGUAAAGCAUUGGCCGACAUACGUGCAAUGUUUGAGGAGCAUUUUAAAAACCAAUCAUGCCAAGGAGAAUCUAAAGCAAACAACGGGACUGCCUCAACGAAGCCAAAUAAGGCGAAAUUAGUAAAAUAAAUUUAUUAUACAUACGUAAAUACUACAUGCAUACUGAAAUUAUUGUUAGAACUUUUAGAACUUAGUUGUAAGUGUUAAAAUAUGAUAGUUGAUUUGUAUCAUAAUUAUAUUUUUUGUAUACCGUAAGUCAAAGCAAUGAAGUCAAAUUAUUGAUUUUCACAAAUUGUGAACAAUUUUAAGACGUUAUUUUUUAAAUUUAUUUUAAGAAAUUUAAUAAAAAAUUAAAAAAAAAAAACAAUAUUUUUAAUUAAUAAACGGUUAGUGCCGCCUUCUAUCCCGAUCAUUUCGAGAGUCGCGGUUGUCAUAACGCCGAUCUUUAUAAUCAUCACGCCGGUAGUCAUCUCUAUAAUCAUCACGUCCACUACGGUAAUUAUUUGUGCCGCCUGAACGAUCAUCCCAGUGUCGAUUACUGCUUGAUGUCGAAGUAACACCAAAACGAUCACGCUCACGAUCGCGUUCACGUUGUCUACUGUAAUCUUCUAACUCGGUAUCAUAAUCACGAGCACGACCACUUCUUUGAUCACGCGCACCAGUAGGACUACGCGACCGUGAACGUGAGUGAUCUUUACGUGAUCUUUUCUUAGCCGAAGAAGAUGAUUUAUUUUUGUCAUCAUCUCGCUCUGCACCACCACCAUCGUCAUCGCUAACUACAUCGUCAUCUAAAUCUUCAUCCAAGGAGGAUACUUUCGGUUCAAGUUCAUUAUUUUCCUCAAGUACAGCACGUUUUUGUAUACGAGCGUUGUACAAAAUUUAUCGAUAAGUUUAAUCGAUGUGUGUCAAAUACUUAACGAAGACUUAAGAUGUGAUCAUAUUGGCAGCAUAGAAAAACUGAACAAACUUCAUGAUUGAUUUUACAACUCUAUAUCAAGAUCAUUUCCUACUAAAUACUCUGGUGCAUUUUCAUUGGCCUUGGCAGCACAAAAAAAUUUAAAUUUGCACUGACAGAAAGAAAAAAAGGUAAACAAAGGGGAUCAAUUGAAAUGUAAAUAGAUACUGCAAUUAUGGGAACAAAAUUAUUAAAAUAAUUUAUAUUUUUUAGAAAUAGCUCAUACAUAUAUUUACUUGCAGUAAAAUGAUAAAAUUAAAUCGAAAAUUUCACAAAUUGUGGCUCUCUUUGAACUGCACAUAUUUGUUGUUGUAUGUCACAUUGUUUAUGAAGCCUUUGGAUAUUGGGCAUUGGAAUCAUUGUGAAAUUUGCACACUACAAUUACAUAUAUUUCGCAAUGAAAACAUUUCAUAAAAUAUAUUUGAAACUAAUUCGUUGUAUUUUUAUAAAAACUAAGGUAAGUUUGAGCAUAUAUAUGUAAUAUGCCGCAUUGUUAAAAGUACGCAAAACAACAAAAUAUAAUAGAUAAUUUUAAUUGUUUACGUUGCAGUUUGUGGUAGAGCGUAUUUGGUUUUAUUCUAUGACCUAUUCAAAAAACGAGCAGAUACGCCAAUAUUAAUACAUAUGUAAAUGUGCCGACAUUUUCUUUAUCACAAUUUUGACUUCAAAAUACAACUCUAUUUCUACGAGCACAAAGUAAAAUAUAAACAUGCGAUAUGUGUUUCAAAAUUAAAAAUUAAUAUUUUUGCCCAUUAGAAAGCGAUUGGAAAUAUUAUUUGGUAAAGUAUAUAUGUUUACAUUAUUUUACUUUUCCAUUUUGUUUCGUACGAUAAAAUAAUCAACCACAGUGCAUUUGUUAUUUAAAUUCAAGUUGCUAAUCCAUACACAAUUGUCACAUAAUGGUUUAAGCGAUUUAUAAACCCAUCAAUUAGCCCAUUCAAGCAAAUGUUUCAUGUCCGGAUCAUCUAUAUAGCAGUUAAACAAACUCAUUAGAUUUAAAAUCAUCAUUCUCAGAUAACUAAUAAUUUACCAUCUUCCUGUGCUGUUGUAGCAGGUGCAGUAGCUUUCUUUUUCUCGGGAAUUUUCUCCGGCAUUUCGUCGGCUGGAACUUCGGGUAAUGUAACAUUUGGCUCUGGUAUACCAAUAACUUUCUUAUCGAACUCCUCUUGUUCUAAUUCAUCCAAUUCACGUUCCAGA
Molecule: RNA transcript, 4724 nt
Organism: Zeugodacus cucurbitae (melon fly)
Lineage: Eukaryota; Metazoa; Arthropoda; Insecta; Diptera; Tephritidae
Gene: whd
Gene name: carnitine O-palmitoyltransferase 1, liver isoform
Exons: 11
Source: RefSeq, a predicted model, not a curated record